CCUGGUGGGUAUAGCUGUGAGGACACACCCGUUCUCAUUCCGAAUACGGCAGUUAAGUUCACAGCGCCGAAAAUACUUGGCUGGAGACGGCCUGGAAAAAUAGGUACUGCCAGGU
RNAcentral lists this ribosomal RNA (115 nucleotides) under Candidatus Babelota bacterium. The record is from RNAcentral.